This 253-nucleotide ribosomal RNA is filed under the name uncultured bacterium. Its description in RNAcentral is "partial 16S ribosomal RNA". It matches the Rfam family "Bacterial small subunit ribosomal RNA", at positions 524 to 776 of the family's 1533-position model. The record is from RNAcentral.
UACGUAGGGACCAAGCGUUGUUCGGAUUUACUGGGCGUAAAGGGCGCGUAGGCGGCAAUUCAAGUCAGCUGUGAAAUCUCCGGGCUUAACUCGGAACGGUCAGCUGAUACUGCUUUGCUAGAGUGCAGAAGGGGCAAUCGGAAUUCUUGGUGUAGCGGUGAAAUGCGUAGAUAUCAAGAGGAACACCUGAGGUGAAGACGGGUUGCUGGGCUGACACUGACGCUGAGGCGCGAAAGCUAGGGUAGCAAACAGG